RNAcentral lists this long non-coding RNA (1228 nucleotides) under Theobroma cacao (cacao). RNAcentral describes it as "long non-coding RNA (TCAC_LNC005562)". Lineage: Eukaryota; Viridiplantae; Streptophyta; Magnoliopsida; Malvales; Malvaceae. The record is from RNAcentral.
GGUGGUGAAACUUCCGAUAAGGGUAAGGAGAUUGUACCCGAAGAUCGAGACUAGGAGUACUUCGACUCCCGAUAUUGUGAGUAACCUUAUUAUCAUCUUAAUUAUCUAAAAUAGCUUUUAUUCAUUUUUGUGAUUUUAUAGAAAAAUGAGUUUAAAUGGUAAAUCCUUAUGUUUUAUAAGUAAAAUGUGAUUAAAUGAAAUGAGUUUUGUAAAUCAUUUUGAAAUUGAAUGAUGAUUUUAGAAAUGAAGUAAUUGGAGACUGUUUGAUUGUGCUGUAAAUUUAUGGUUUGAAUUGAAUGGCUUAUGGUGAUAUUGGCAUGAAUGGCUGAAUCAGAAAUUGUGUUGAAAUUGUAUGAACUAUUUGUUUUGCCUUAAUAGGUUGGGUAGUAAUAUAAUUGCCAUGUCAUACUGUCGAAACUUUUAUUAAUUUGGUGGGAUAUUGAUUAGUCAUUGCAGUGGUGGGUUUCCGUGGACCAACUUAUUAAAGAGGGGCACGGUAAACCCAGUUAUAUUUUACCUCGAUACAAGAGGCGCGAAGGGUAUCUCCUGAGGUAAAGCUUUAGAGUUCACUACACGCUAAACCACCACGUGAGGGUGAACUCAGCGAAUGCCAAGGAACAGCUAUGCUUUUAAACGUAAAAAUGUGUUUUAUGCGUAUAUGAACUUUUCUUUAACAGUUUUGACAGACUCGGUUGGAUGCCCCGGCCAAGGUAUCCCCGAGAAUGAGUUUUGACACGAGCCAAAUUUUUAAGAAAUUCAUAAGCCAUGUUAAUUAUUUGAGUGAAAUGAAAUUAUUCUAUUUAGUUGAAAUUGGUUUGAAACGUUAUGAAUCAUAGUACGAUGAACUAUUUUAAAUUGUCUCCAUUUACUCGACUUUAGAUAUUUUAGAUGAUGUUUGUAUACGCACUGAGUUUAUAUAAACUCACCACCCUCAUUUCCACUCAUUUCAGAAUCAGGACAGUCCAUAAAUAGUUGAUUACGUCGAGGGUUAUUAUUGGACUCGCCUCCUCAAAAAUCGUAGGUCCACAGCCUUUGUUACCUUUGGUCAUUUGGGGGCCCACACGUCAUUGUAAAUUAAAUUACUUACUCUGGUUAUCUGUGUUACUGUAUGUAUGGAUUUAUUUUACUCUUACGCUAUAAAAAUUAUUUAUGCAGAGUUCCAUAAAUAUUGUUUUAUAAGAAAAUAAAAUAUUUCAUUUAAUAUUUUUAUUUUAUUCUAUUAGCUACA